This 4524-nucleotide long non-coding RNA is filed under the name Anolis carolinensis (green anole). RNAcentral's name for it is "lncRNA (ENSACAG00000037884.1)". The record is from RNAcentral. Lineage: Eukaryota; Metazoa; Chordata; Lepidosauria; Squamata; Anolidae.
AUGUGCUGCCAGGAAGACCACUUUUGUGACCAGCCCUUCCACCAGAACUGGCUUUCCCGUGUUGACAUACUGAUCUGCCACAUUAUGGUCAGGUUUCUGUUAGAGACCAACACAUGCAGAAGUCAUGCUAUACAUGCGGAGCCAAAAGUGAUAGUGGUGAAUACUUAAAACAUUUCAAGCACAGGUAAGUCAGAAAAAUUGCAGUUGCAUUUGUUUGAAAUGAAGUCACCCUGAACUAUAAAGUGGAAAAGGAGCAAAAGCUCAAUUCUUAUUUUCAGUCCCAAGGCAGCCUUCCCCAGUCUGAUGCCCUACAAUUUGUAACUGCAUUGCUUAAUUGUGACACUACUGUAUUGUAAAGAAAGAAAAGAAAAAAAUACCAAAAGAUAAUAGAGCCGUGAUAUGACGUGACAGGGCUUCUAAUGUUCAUAUUACUUAGAAAAGCCCCGCUAAUAUAAGCCAAGAAAUGCAGUCCAAGAUGUUUCAGUUUUAUCACUUUUGACUUUAAAAUUAUCAUUAAAGGCAGCCUGUUAGCGUAUAUGGCAUCAGUCUCAUUUUGAUUUUUUAAAAAUAAAAUUUAUUAUGGCUUUUAUGAUGGCUGUCAAAUAGAUCAGAAUCAGAGACAAGUGAUUGGAAGGUACCAGCCAUCAUUUUCACUGUAACUUCCUCUUUCUCUAAAAUGCUGUGAUGUACAGCACACAAUCCAAAAAUGAACAAAAACAUAUGCACAAGCCCCCAAAUAGCCCAGUCAAACAAUGAAGCAUGGCCCCUAAAGGAUGGGAGACCUAUAUUUUAUCCUAUCUCCUCUAAACCUGUGAACAGAUGUGCUUUUAAACCACAUUUUAUCAGACUACCUUCUAUACAGAUGUAGACUGGAAAGAAGCCCUUAUAACUCAAUAGCACUCAUUAACCAGUGAACAGAUGCAAGACUGGGUACAAAGUUUAUUACCUCCCUGAAAUAUUUCUUUUUACCUUCUUCACUGAAUACUGAGCAUAAGUGGUAGUAUCCAACUGCUUUAACAGUAUCAAGUUGUCAGCCUGUUUAACAAACUAUUUUUACAUCCUCCCUCCUUGCUUUUUAAUUAAGGUAGGCAAACUCUGAUGUCUUUGAAACAUAAAACAGAUAUAGAAUCAGCCAGAGUAUGCAUGAUCUAUUUUAGAAUCUAAAAGUCUAUUUAAUUUAAAGCUACAUUAGAGCAUUGAAACAAACACUCACCAUGAAUCACAUCUAGUUAUUUUGGGUUAUUUUUGUGAUCACAAUGAUUUCAUUUAGAAAGGUAAUAAUUUAAAACCAGGACAUUGACAAGCUGGAACAUGUCCAGAGGAAGGGAACCAUGAUGGUCUAGAAACCAUAUAAGGAACAACUGAAAGAGUUGGUUAUGUUUAGCACAGAAUAAAGAAGAACGAGAAGUGACAUGACAGCCGUCUUUUAAAGGGUUGGCUCAUAAAAAAAUGAACUUCCCUUUUGCUGUUCCAAGAUGGGAUCAAACAAAUGGAUUCGAAGUACCAAAAAAAGAGAUUUUAAACAGACACAAGGAAGCCAUGGAAUAUCUUUCAUUGGAGGUUAGAUGUUAGUGGUGGAUUACUGUACUGACAGGGGAUUAGACUAGGUGGCCCAUGGGGUCCCUUCCAACUCCAUCAUUCUAUGAUUCUUCAGAUUUAAUUGCUUGCUUGAUGGGAAGAAAGAAAAAAAAGAAACUUUGCUGCUGUGAAUCUGGAUGACAUUGGAUGUAACAAGCCAAAUUGAGUAACUACUACAAAUGAAAUUCUACACUUGUAAAUCUAGCCAACAAUGUAUUGCUUAGUAUUCUAUGCAUUAAUAUUUUCUCAGGGAAAAUAAACCAUUAUCAUAGUACUACGGGAGCAUCUGCUUUCAUUUCACCCCAAUUAUUUGAAUGGCAUGUUAUCUGUAGCAAAGGCAGCCCUUUGUUACCCCUUGAAAAGUAAUAAGGAACCUGGAGUUAUUGAAUUGACUGGGAUGGAUGUAUGCAUAUAUGUGCAUAUGUGUGCUUACAUGUAGAAUGAAUUGUCCUUUUGGGAAAGAUUUUGGGAAAGAUAUUGGAUGAAAUUGCCACUGCCUCCUUUCAAUGCUGUGCUUCCUUUGUCUCUCUAGUUCACACUUAUCAAGUAGGUCUUUGAGACAAUCCACAUAGCCUGCAGGGGUCCUAGGAGUUGGAAUUCAACAAUGCUCUGCACAAGCAACACUGCCUCAUAGUUGUGCUGGAAAAAUUAGUAGAUAGUGAUUAAGGAAGCUUACAGAGAAGUCUGGGUCCUCUUUUCCUUUUAUCAUUAUAUGUCCUGCCCCCUUUGUGAGUAACCUAGACAUAGGACCUCAUCACAUUGAGGUCACCUAUCUGGGCAAUAAUGGGGGAAUUUGCCAUGGAUCGUGGUGAAUCUGGUAUGGGGCGUGGGAAGCACGUUGCCCUAUGCCUCACAUAGCCUGCAUUGGCCCUCACCUCAACCCAUGGGGGGGGGGGGGGAAGUCGCCACCCAGCUUCCCUCUUCUUGUUGACUAUGCAACAUGAGAAACCUCCUGUGAUGCCGAUGCUGCCUCUUUCAAUACUUGGACCUCACUUUAAGUGUGGAGCCCUGCUGAAAUAGAUUGACAUCAUGUGAUGGGAUCUGGCAGCCUCAGUGCCUGAAAAGAGGUCCAAGUGUCAUAGGAUGGGCAAUUUUGCCUGUCUGAUGAGGUCCUAAUAAUCUCAGGCUUAGCCCACCUCUUCCUUGUUUUCUAUUCCUUCCCUGGAGCUUUCUGUAGUCAGGCUAAGUAGGACUAGCAACUCCUUUUGAUUCUAUUACUAAAUGGAGUUCACUUAAUAAAGAUUACGUUAAACUUUAGCUGCCAGUCUCCUUGCUCCUUGAAUGCCAUCUCACACUCUUUCAGCUGUAAGUUUACUCUGCUAAAUUAUCCCCUGGAGCCACUGAGGGGCAUCAGUCACCUAAAAGAUGGCACUUAUUCAGCAACAUUACUGGAUUAAUUGUAUGCAGGACUGUGUUAAUGAGAAAAGGAUUAGUCAAACCAGACAGUCAGGUUCAGUGAUCUAUGGGUGUAUAUGCUGACUCAGGCCAGGCUAUGGGCUGGAGACAACUUUGGUUGACUUGGUGGACAACCUGAUCCAGGAUUUGGACAUGGAACGUUUUGCUGUUGAUUGCUUGGCAGCUUUUAGAGGCGCUGCUUUAUACUGACUAUAUUCCUUGCUAAAUGAGACAGUAUGAAAAGUGAUACUGCAGGAUCUCUGUUUGAUUCCUUGCCUGUAGGUCUGUGAGGUCCCUCCAGAUUUCAUUUGGUUUCCCCAUCUGGUGUUUCUCAGACUAUUUGGUGCAGGAACUCACUAGAUAGACUAAACUACAGCAGAAACAACAUCUGAUACAAAAUGUAGGAUUAUGGCUCUAACACGGUCACUUUUUAUUAUUAACUGUAUGAUUUUAAAAAUAUCUGUUGCCUGACAAAAAGCCAGGGGAGUUUCAAAAGUUUGCACAAAGUGUAUUGUGUAUUUAGGUUGGCCAAUAAAAAUAUUGCUCUUUUGUGGGUUUUAUACCACUUUAAAGAUGAUACUAAACAACCAUAUUGCUCUCCUUUCUACCUAUCCCAGGGAAGCCGUUUGAGUUUUGAACCAAUGUCAGAUAUCGUCCUGACAAGAGAGAAGAUGGAGCACGUCAAGAGAUGCAAAGUCCUAAAUCAUGAUAUAAAGUCUUAUGUCUAUUAAUUCCACACUGACUAAAAAUUAAAUAUAGCAACCAUAUUAACCCAGAAUAAUAGAUAUGGAAAGUAAAAUGCAACCCUCAGUCACAAUAAAUUAACCUUGCUUUGGCAAUUGGUACGUAUGAAGUGUAUUAUGAAUAAAAAGUUGCUUUGGAACAGAUUGAUGUGUCUGCCUCUGUCAUGAUGAAAUGAAUCCUUCUGCUAGGUGACUGAUAGGAUUACAACAAUGCUCUGGAAAGGGAACUGAAUGGAUAUUAAUCUACUCAAAGGUCCAAGUCUCCAUUUAUUGUGAAAUGCAGUACAGGCUGUAAUCUAGCAUGGCUUAGUGAGGCGUGAACACACAAGUCUUCCAGGCUGAAUUUAAGUUCUCCUCUCUGUCACUGGCUAGUGCACCAACAAUCAAGUGCAGAAAAGCUUGUGACAGCCCCAUAUAAUGUGAAAACUCCUUUGGCAUCAGAAUAAUCUGACAGUUUGCUUGCGAUAGAGACUACUGAUUAUUAUCCCAUAGCAUAGAAAUUCCAUACAAUUCACUCCAUAACUGCACUAAAACUGAAAUUAGAAUAUGGUUUGUUCUAUAAGUUAAAAUGCAAUUUGGUGGAAGGUAUUUUUUUAUGUCAGGAGUGACUUGAUAAACUGUAAGCCACUUCUGGUGUGAGAGAAUUGGCCAUCUGCAAGGAUGUUGCCCAGGGGAUGCCCAGAUGUUUGAUAUUUUACCAUCCUUGUGUAAGGCUUCUCUCAUGUCCCUGCAUGGAGACGGAGCUGAUGGAAGCUCAUCUCUGCUCUCUGUGGGCUGGAUUCAAACCAGCAACCUUCAGGUCAGCAAC